GUCACUUAAAGAGGACGGCAGAUCAAGAGCAUCUCAUCCUCCGGCUGCUGAGUCAUCCUGCUCUGGCAGUUAUUUAAACAGAAGGCUCCAGGAGACAUACAAUCAACACUCCACUCAGACAAUGCCCAGACCUCCAGAAACCAUGUGUCAAGCUCGGAUUGCCUUAGACAGGUGCAAUUUAAGAACAGCUUUCAUCCUCUUUUCUCUCAUAUUGUCACACUAUGUGUUCUGACUUCUGGCUCCUUUCCUCACAAGAAGCUCACCCAGCUGGAACUCUUAUGGGACCUUGGCACCAGAGACCACAAAUUCCUCUUUGAAGUUUUCUAACAGCAACAAUGGUAUUUCUGACUUGGCUUUCUUGUAUUUCUCUCACGUUAACAAAAUUGGUUCAGCAUCUACCAUGGGCUACAUGCUGAGCUACAGAGUUUCGCUCUGUCGCCCAGGCUGGAGUGCAGUGGCGCGCGAUCUCGGUUCACUGCAAGCUCCACCUCCCGGGUUCACGCCAUUCUCCUGCCUCAGCCUCCUGAGUAGCUGGGACUACAGGCGCCCGCCACCACACCCAGAUACAUGAAAAGAAAGAAGGAGAGAAGGAAGAAAGGAGGGCGGAAGGAAAGGAAGAAGGGAGAGAAGAAGAGAAGAAAGAAGCAGAGAAAGGAAGAGAAAAGAAAUUACGGCCAGUGCGGUGGCUCACGCCUGUAAUCCUAGCACUUUGGGAGGCCUAAGCGGGCUGAUCACCUGAGGUCAGGAGUUCGUAAGCCAGCCUGGCCAACAUGGUGAAACCCUAUCUCUACUAAAAAUACAAAAAUCAGCAGGGCAUGGUGGUGCGUGCCUGUAAUCCCAGCUACCUGGGAGGCUGAGGUAGGAGAAUCGCUGGAACCCGAGAGGCGGAGGCUGCAGUGAGUUGAGAUCAUGUCACUGCACUCCAGGCUGGGCAACAGAGUGAGACUCUGUCUCAGAAAAAAAAAAAAA
This 969-nucleotide long non-coding RNA is filed under the name Homo sapiens (human). Its description in RNAcentral is "lung cancer associated transcript 1". Lineage: Eukaryota; Metazoa; Chordata; Mammalia; Primates; Hominidae. The record is from RNAcentral.